AUUGAACGCUGGCGGCAUGCCUAACACAUGCAAGUCGAACGGCAGCACGGCAGUAGCAAUACUGUGGGUGGCGAGUGGCGGACGGGUGAGGAAUACGUCGGAAUCUGCCCAAUCGUGGGGGAUAACUAACCGAAAGGUUAGCUAAUACCGCAUACGACCGAGAGGUGAAAGCGGGGGACCGCAAGGCCUCGCGCGAUUGGAUGAGCCGACGUCGGAUUAGCUUGUUGGUGGGGUAAAGGCCUACCAAGGCAACGAUCCGUAGCUGGUCUGAGAGGAUGAUCAGCCACACUGGAACUGAGACACGGUCCAGACUCCUACGGGAGGCAGCAGUGGGGAAUAUUGGACAAUGGGCGCAAGCCUGAUCCAGCAAUGCCGCGUGUGUGAAGAAGGCCU
RNAcentral lists this ribosomal RNA (393 nucleotides) under uncultured bacterium. Its description in RNAcentral is "bacterial SSU rRNA". It matches the Rfam family "Bacterial small subunit ribosomal RNA", at positions 29 to 417 of the family's 1533-position model. The record is from RNAcentral.